CCUACGGGGGGCAGCAGCAAGGAAUUUUCCCCAAUGGCCUGACGGCUGAGGGAGCAACGUCGCGUGCAGGACGACGGCCUUCGGGUUGUAAACUGCUUUUCGAGGGGAAGAGCCUGACGGUACCCUCGGAAUAAGCCCCGGCUAACUCCGUGCCAGCAGCCGCGGUAAGACGGAGGGGGCAAGCGUUGUCCGGAAUCACUGGGCGUAAAGCGCACGUAGGCGGUUCGGUGCGUCGGCGCUGAAACCUCUGGGCUUAACCCAGAGACGCGUGCCGA
RNAcentral lists this ribosomal RNA (275 nucleotides) under uncultured bacterium. Its description in RNAcentral is "partial 16S ribosomal RNA". It matches the Rfam family "Bacterial small subunit ribosomal RNA", at positions 338 to 630 of the family's 1533-position model. The record is from RNAcentral.